GGUCUGGCAAGCAUCCUGCCCCCAUUAUAGUGAAAUGGGUUAAUAAAAUUACACUGGGAGAUUUACUGAAUUACUUACUAAUGUGUGAAUUCAGUCUGAAUUUCAAAUUUCAAGGCCAAAGUAGCUGAGAUGAAAGCAUAGCGGACGGAGAAUGUUUACAGUUUGGCUAUUUUCACCUUAAACUUGAAAUUCUCUUUGCAUUCUCACUUUUGUGGACAACCAUGUUAAUGUCAAAAUGCAGAGCUGGUGGGUUUAUAUAUUGUAAUCUGGUGUUACUGUUCACAGCCAAGUGCAAUUGACUUCCAUUUGUUGUUUGUAAUAUAUCCAUAAGCAUUUUGAAGAGAGUACCCUGUUUUCUGCCAACAAAAGAUUGAG
Non-coding RNA from Pelobates cultripes (western spadefoot toad), 375 nucleotides. NCBI's taxonomy places the organism in Eukaryota, Metazoa, Chordata, Amphibia, Anura, Pelobatidae. The record is from the annotation of a GenBank genome assembly.